This 484-nucleotide ribosomal RNA is filed under the name uncultured bacterium. Its description in RNAcentral is "partial 16S ribosomal RNA". It matches the Rfam family "Bacterial small subunit ribosomal RNA", at positions 29 to 507 of the family's 1533-position model. The record is from RNAcentral.
AUUGAACGCUGGCGGCAUGCUUUACACAUGCAAGUCGAACGGCAGCGCGGGCUUCGGCCUGGCGGCGAGUGGCGAACGGGUGAGUAAUACAUCGGAACGUGCCCAGUAGUGGGGGAUAGCUCGGCGAAAGCCGGAGUAAUACCGCAUACGACCUGAGGGUGGAAGCGGGGGAUCUUCGGACCUCGCGCUAUUGGAGCGGCCGAUGGCAGAUUAGCUAGUUGGUGGGGUAAAGGCCUACCAAGGCGACGAUCUGUAGCUGGUCUGAGAGGACGACCAGCCACACUGGGACUGAGACACGGCCCAGACUCCUACGGGAGGCAGCAGUGGGGAAUUUUGGACAAUGGGCGAAAGCCUGAUCCAGCAAUGCCGCGUGUGUGAUGAAGGCCUUCGGGUUGUAAAGCCCUUUUGGCGGGAACGAAAAGGACUGUGCCAAUACCACGGUUCGAUGACGGUACCCGCAGAAUAAGCACCGGCUAACUACGUG